Polypterus senegalus (gray bichir) is the source of this 462-nucleotide long non-coding RNA. RefSeq lists it as uncharacterized. The transcript has 3 exons. The record is from RefSeq and is a predicted model, not a curated record. NCBI's taxonomy places the organism in Eukaryota, Metazoa, Chordata, Cladistia, Polypteriformes, Polypteridae.
UUCAGAUGAUGCCAAGUCAUAGACACCCCACAAGAAGCGAAACUGAGACAAACUGAUGGAUAAUAUGAAACGGGAAAGAAUUAAUCGGCAAAAGUACAGAGCAGCAGAGAGCGGAAGUUCAGAACAGCAGUGAGCAGAAGCACAGAGCAGCACUGUCUCCUACAUGGACGUAACUUUUCACAAACACCAGAGUGAAAAAAAAAUAGCUGAAAACAACUCCGCACUAAAUAAGCAGCGGAAGCAAACAAUGGCCAAAUAUGAGAUGAACUGCGUAGUCAAUGAAUUCCAGGCUCUCGACAUCCAGAUCCAGAAACUCCUGUACCAACGGAGACACCUGAGCGAUUUGAAAGCUUGUCUGCUGGAAAAAUUCUCCCAAUCAUCUGAAAUCAUUGCAGCAAAUCAUGGUUCAGUAACAUCGACUCCACGCUGUGCCACUCACUUUCAAGGCCAAGUGAGCUUUAC